Molecule: transfer RNA, 64 nt
Filed under: Trabala vishnou
Lineage: Eukaryota; Metazoa; Arthropoda; Insecta; Lepidoptera; Lasiocampidae
Description: tRNA-Tyr
Source: RNAcentral
AAUAAAAUGGCUGAGGAAUAAGCGAUAAAUUGUAAAUUUAUUUACGAGAAAUUCUCUUUUAUUG